AGGACUUUAAGCUUUCUUACCACUAUAUGAAUGGUUUCUUUGCCCAAUAAUCGGCUUUAUCAACAGUCGCCCACUCACAUACAGGAAAAUUGUUAUUAUUUGCAAUAAAUUAUUUAAAUUAUCGCUUGAAAAUUGUUUCGUUCUAAGACUUUUAAAUUUGGUCAUGAUUUUUGUUAGAUGAAGAUGGGAAGAAGAAGAGAAAAAAGUUUACAUAAUUGAGCAAGUUAAGUAAAUUUCUUGCACCAUUCUAAUUAUUUAUGCCAAUUGUCUGUGAAUUUCUUUUACUUUAUAUUACUUCUAUCCAAGUUUUCUGAAGAUUUUAUAUUUACUUAUGAUAAUCUCUGCCUUUAUUCUUCAUCCUUGUUUGUGAAUGUGAAUUAAUUGAAAUUAUUGUCCAGUUGAGUUGACUCCUUGAUAUGUGUUUUUGGUUUCGGGAUCUAAUCUCUCAAUGAAGGAAACAAAGUUGAUGUUAGGGUAUGUGGAUCGAUUGGGCUUUGGUAAACACAAUUUGAGAGAAAAAAACAACCUCUAUUACUCACAAGAAUAGAUUACACGAGUAUUUACAAAACUCAUAAAAAAACUCUCAAAAACUCAUAGACGAGGAUCACUCUCUAGGAUCACUCUUGUUCUCACUCUUCUUGGUGAAGAACACUCCAAAUUUUGUGAUGAUUUAGAAUGAAGGCAAGCACCUCUAUUUAUAGCAAAAAUGGUGAGGGUUUUUUGUGAAAAUACCCGUGUGAAUAAGGAAGUUUCCCAUUGAGGCUAUGGUUGGCUUGUUCAACCAUUGUGGGCUACCCGUGUGAAUAAGGAAGCUUCCCAUGAAGGAUAUGAUUGGCUUGUUCAAAGUUUACUAGUUUGAACAUCUAAAAAUACGGCUGGAAGUCAUCAGUUGAUUGGCUUUUCGUAUUGUUUAAGAAACAAAGCACCUGGUUAUAUAAUAUGUGAGAUGAUGAGAUUUACUUUUUGGGUACAAAAUUUAGUGAAAACUGUUAAUGUAAUGAUACACAACGACGUAUAUUGCAUUUAUGAUUAUUACAAAUUCUUUGAGACGCUAAUAAAUGUUAUUAUCUCGUUCAAGUCAAUCAAUCAAAAGACACAACAAAGGAAAAGCUUAGAGAUUACAAUGAUGAUAAUUAAGUCUUCUUGGUAGAUUAAUCAACGCCGUCUAAAUUGAGUGAAAUUAACCAGCACAAUGACUUAACUAUAUUAAAUUAUUGCAUCAUAAAAGAAUAUUAAUAUUGCUCCAUUUAUUAAGUGAUUUUACUACUUUAAUUGCAUAACUAUAUGAUUUUGGAAUAUUUUUUGUGAUUGCAUGCAGGAGGUGGUUGGAAACUGAACGGUGGAGCAGUGGCAAGCGGGUUCCAUGUAAGGCUUGAGGUCGCAAGAUCAUAGCUCCGCUAAACUUGGUUUGCUAAACGUAUACAUUAUAUCCCAUUUUGUGUGCGAUUAUACUGGGUUGUUGUUGUGGCAGGAGGUGAUUAUUUUGCAGUGCAAUACAACAAAUUGAGUUCUUGCUUGUUUAUUAAAUUUUUUCCAUGUGCUUUAUGUUUGAAUAUUUUGAUAUAUUAGAGAAUGUAUGAUGAGAAUUAGGGUUUGUAAGAG
Molecule: long non-coding RNA, 1602 nt
Filed under: Nicotiana benthamiana
Lineage: Eukaryota; Viridiplantae; Streptophyta; Magnoliopsida; Solanales; Solanaceae
Description: long non-coding RNA (NBEN_LNC042552)
Source: RNAcentral